This 245-nucleotide ribosomal RNA is filed under the name uncultured bacterium. RNAcentral describes it as "partial 16S ribosomal RNA". It matches the Rfam family "Bacterial small subunit ribosomal RNA", at positions 524 to 771 of the family's 1533-position model. The record is from RNAcentral.
UACAGAGGGUGCAAGCGUUAAUCGGAAUUACUGGCGUAAGCGUGCGCAGGCGGUUCGCUAAGACAGAUGUGAAAUCCCCGGGCUUAACCUGGGAACUGCAUUUGUGACUGGCGGGCUAGAGUAUGGCAGAGGGGGUAGGAAUUCACGUGUAGCAGUGAAAUGCGUAGAGAUGUGGAGGAAUACCGAUGGCGAAGGCAGCCCCCUGGCCAUACGUGAACGCUCAUGCACGAAAGCGUGGGGAGCAA